Molecule: ribosomal RNA, 253 nt
Filed under: uncultured bacterium
Lineage: Bacteria
Description: partial 16S ribosomal RNA
Rfam family: Bacterial small subunit ribosomal RNA
Source: RNAcentral
UACAGAGGGGGCAAGCGUUAUUCGGAAUUAUUGGGCGUAAAGGGCGCGUAGGCGGCUGGGCAAGUCAAAGGUGAAAUCCCUCGGCUCAACUGAGGAACUGCCUUUGAAACUGCCUGGCUUGAGGCCGGGAGGGGGUAGCGGAAUUCCCAGUGUAGCGGUGAAAUGCGUAGAUAUUGGGAGGAACACCAGUGGCGAAGGCGGCUACCUGGACCGGUUCUGACGCUGAUGCGCGAAAGCGUGGGUAGCAAACAGG